UGGGGGAUAUUGCACAAUGGGGGAAACCCUGAUGCAGCGACGCCGCGUGGGUGAGGAAGUAUUUCGGUAUGUAAAGCCCUAUCAGCAGGGAAGAAGAUGACAGUACCUGACUAAGAAGCCCCGGCUAACUACGUGCC
RNAcentral lists this ribosomal RNA (137 nucleotides) under uncultured bacterium. RNAcentral's name for it is "partial 16S ribosomal RNA". It matches the Rfam family "Bacterial small subunit ribosomal RNA", at positions 355 to 509 of the family's 1533-position model. The record is from RNAcentral.